AUAAUCAAAAGCGAUGUUCCAAAUUAACAUACAUUUUCAUAAUUUUUAAUGAUUUUUGUGAGCGUACAGUAAAGAAAUGGCAAGCACAUGUAUCAACUCCAUCCUCGACAUUAUCAUGUGCCCAACAACAAGAUGUGAAAUGUUGCCCAUGAAUAUUAGAAACCAGCGGUGUAUCAGCCAUCCUUUUAUAAAAAUAUUUGAGCGACUCCUCCAGAUAUUGCUCAUGUUCGGGGAAAAUUUGAUGUUUAAACAUUUUCAUGAAAUUAUUUAUUUUUAUUACAAGUUGUUGAAUGCUAUUACUGGUUGAGAUGAUGUCUUUGUUUUUUAGUGUUAGCAUUUUGAUGGAUCCGUGUACGUCUACUUGCAAUGAAUUCAAAAAUUUAAAUGAAGUAAUCCUUUCCAAAUUGUUAGACGAUACGCUGAACCAAUCCAGUUAGUGGCGAGUAUUCAACUAGUCGAUCAUGGAUGAGAAGGCAAUAUGCCUUUGCAAUUAUCUCACUCGCAACAGUUAGUUCAGUGGAAAUUUUUAUAUCAGUCGCUCCUGAUUUGACACUCUCGUUCUGGUAUGAGAGAUCAACAACCACAAUAGGAGCCUUCGACAUGAAUUUCAUCGGAGAUAAAAGAGCUCGGGGUUCUCGAUUGUAAUAGCUCUCUUGAAAUUUUGUAUACAUGUCAUACAAGACAGCAAACCGGUUCUCAUUAUAUUUAACAUUCAAAUCCUCAUAGGGAUAUACUUCAGAAUUAAGAUAUACCUUUGCAUUUCUCAAAUUGUUUGUAAUUAGUUCUCCAUUUAAUGUAAAUGCAAUAACAGCAAAACGUGGACGUUCUCUAUUUGCAGACAUCUUGACAUUCCAUAUAUGAUGUGUUCCCUGAACCAAUGUCGGAUUUAUAUAACAAUCCCAACUCCGGAAUGCGAGUGGGAGGCUAGCUCCACUCUUUACUAAAUUAAACAUUUUAAUUUUAGCACUGUCACUUGGAACGAUGUGGGGGAUCUUCCAACUUAUACUAUUUAUAGCAAUAUUAUGGAUUUUUCCAUCAACAUUUUUCACAAACAUAUCAUCAGGGUUUUUCUCUUCAGCGAACCCCAUCAACAUUUUUAAAGGUACAGAAAAACUGAAAUGUUCUCCAGAAGGGAUAUUGUCCCCGCCACUCCACCCCGCAUUGCGAUAAGCCGCUCCUUCCUGUUGGCCGACUGAGAGAAAGUUCUUAAUAGUCGUUGUUAUUCCUAAAAUAGGCCAUACAAUUAUUUUUGAGCAAACCGCUAACGCCAUUUGUACUAGUCGUUCCUGUAUUUGAGUCAAUAAUUCUGCUAAGCGUUCCUUCAAAAUGGAGAAAACUUUCACAUGGAAGGACAUACAAAUCUUGGUUUUGCAAACUGAUCCGUAC
This is a long non-coding RNA of Drosophila kikkawai, 1386 nucleotides long. RefSeq lists it as uncharacterized. NCBI's taxonomy places the organism in Eukaryota, Metazoa, Arthropoda, Insecta, Diptera, Drosophilidae. The record is from RefSeq and is a predicted model, not a curated record.